Aquila chrysaetos chrysaetos is the source of this 114-nucleotide long non-coding RNA. RefSeq lists it as uncharacterized. The transcript has 3 exons. The record is from RefSeq and is a predicted model, not a curated record. Lineage: Eukaryota; Metazoa; Chordata; Aves; Accipitriformes; Accipitridae.
AACCGUCCUGACAAACUAAAACUGUUACCCAAUCAUGAAUUGUUAGUUACUAACUAAACCAAUCAUAUACGAACACAUACUCUGAAGAAAGUUAUAAAAAAGCUUGUUAGAACA